CGGGUGCCGGCGCUGGAAGCGGGGCGGCGCCUGGGCGCUGCCGGGGCGGACGUGGAGCUCGGGGGCUCCUCCGGGGGUCACUUCUCAGGCGAAGGCGGCGGGGCCGGGGCUGACCGGAGCCGUCCUGAGGGAGGUCGCCCAGCAGCAGCAGCAGCAGCAGCAGAAGUCAACAGGAGAAGAAGAUGGGAAAGGCUCUGAUGAACAACAAGAGAAGACGAAAAAGCAGAAUCCUGCCUAUACAAAGAGACUGCUGCAGAUAGUAGGCCUUCUCGGAGCUGGCAAUGGCAUAGCAAUUAUCUACAUCUUUGGUCGUAAUUCAGUGGAUGAAAAUGGUGCAAAGGUAGGAUGCUUUAUUAUCUAAAAUAAGUUUUCUUGUUAACUAGGUGGCUGCCACUAGGGGUCGUUCAGUGUUCAAAAGAUGCUGGGCAGUCUAAAGUCA
RNAcentral lists this long non-coding RNA (439 nucleotides) under Naja naja (Indian cobra). RNAcentral describes it as "lncRNA (ENSNNAG00000017068.1)". The record is from RNAcentral. Lineage: Eukaryota; Metazoa; Chordata; Lepidosauria; Squamata; Elapidae.